AUGCGGUCCGGAGGGUCCAGAACAGGGGUAAAGACGACAUCGUAUAUGCGUAUGUGGAUGAAGCCAAGGAGGGGCGGCUUCUGGUGGUGGACGCGGAAGCAGUGUAGGAACUUGGGGUCGGUGACGAGGUGCUGCCAGCGUUUGCAGACGGCGGAGGCGCACGGGAGGGAGGAUGGCUGCGGAGGGAGACGCAGAAGGAUCUCCCUGAGGAGAUCUUCGACUUCAAGCGGGGACGCAGGUGCCGCCGGCGAGCAUCCGCUUCGUCGGGCCGCUUCGGCGCCCUCCUCGGUGGCGUCGAUUUGUCGGGGCUGCUGCUGCGCCAUCGUGGCUCGCGUUCGUUUGGGCGCCGCGAAGACCUAG
RNAcentral lists this ribosomal RNA (360 nucleotides) under Triticum aestivum (bread wheat). RNAcentral describes it as "partial small subunit ribosomal RNA". The record is from RNAcentral. Lineage: Eukaryota; Viridiplantae; Streptophyta; Magnoliopsida; Poales; Poaceae.